CUUGUGUUUGGUGAUCCUGUGUGCUAGUGACCUUCUGUGUGCUAGAAGGUCACUAGCACACAGGAUCGCUAAACACAAGCACACAA
Molecule: non-coding RNA, 86 nt
Organism: Pelobates cultripes (western spadefoot toad)
Lineage: Eukaryota; Metazoa; Chordata; Amphibia; Anura; Pelobatidae
Source: the annotation of a GenBank genome assembly